RNAcentral lists this ribosomal RNA (497 nucleotides) under uncultured bacterium. RNAcentral describes it as "partial 16S ribosomal RNA". It matches the Rfam family "Bacterial small subunit ribosomal RNA", at positions 28 to 507 of the family's 1533-position model. The record is from RNAcentral.
GAUGAACGCUGGCGGCGUGCCUAAUACAUGCAAGUCGAGCGAACAGACGAGGAGCUUGCUCCUCUGACGUUAGCGGCGGACGGGUGAGUAACACGUGGAUAACCUACCUAUAAGACUGGGAUAACUUCGGGAAACCGGAGCUAAUACCGGAUAAUAUAUUGAACCGCAUGGUUCAAUAGUGAAAGACGGUUUUGCUGUCACUUAUAGAUGGAUCCGCGCCGCAUUAGCUAGUUGGUAAGGUAACGGCUUACCAAGGCAACGAUGCGUAGCCGACCUGAGAGGGUGAUCGGCCACACUGGAACUGAGACACGGUCCAGACUCCUACGGGAGGUAGCAGUAGGGAAUCUUCCGCAAUGGGCGAAAGCCUGACGUAGCAACGCCGCGUGAGUGAUAAAGGUCUUCGGAUCGUAAAACUCUGUUAUUAGGGAAGAACAAAUGUGUAAGUAACUAUGCACGUCUUGACGGUACCUAAUCAGAAAGCCACGGCUAACUACGUG